AUUGAACGCUGGCGGCAGGCCUAACACAUGCAAGUCGAACGAGUGGCGGACGGGUGAGUAAUGUCUGGGAAACUGCCCGAUGUAGGGGGAUAACUACUGGAAACGGUAGCUAAUACCGCAUCCCAUCCUAUGUGCCCAGCUGGGAUUAGCUAGUGGGUGGGGUAACGGCUCACCUAGGAGACGAUCCCUAGCUGGUCUGAGAGGAUGCACAGCCACACUGGAACUGAGACACGGUCCAGACUCCUACGGGAGGCAGCAGUGGGGAAUAUUGCACAAUGGGCGAAAGCCUGAUGCAGCCAUGCCGCGGGUAUGAAGAAGGCCUUCGGGUUGUAAAGUACUUUCAGCGGGGAGGCGUUACCCGCAGAAGAAGCACCGGCUAACUCCGUGCCAGCAGCCGCGGUAAUUC
Molecule: ribosomal RNA, 406 nt
Filed under: uncultured bacterium
Lineage: Bacteria
Description: partial 16S ribosomal RNA
Rfam family: Bacterial small subunit ribosomal RNA
Source: RNAcentral